Molecule: long non-coding RNA, 174 nt
Organism: Etheostoma cragini (Arkansas darter)
Lineage: Eukaryota; Metazoa; Chordata; Actinopteri; Perciformes; Percidae
Exons: 2
Source: RefSeq, a predicted model, not a curated record
UGUUUUACUGUUAAAAAAAACCACUAUUGCCUAAUUUACUAUAUGAAUUUCCCCUAAUUUUGUCCACUGCCUUUGAAUGUAAGACUCUGUGGUAAUAAUGUUUUGGUCACUUAGUGGUUAAACUACGAGUUACUUUACUACAUUUGAUUCACCUCUGCAGGUGUGGUGGUUUUC